AUUUAAAUAGUUUAAUAAAAAUUUUGAUUUGUGGAGUCAAGGAUAUACAUUAGUAUUUUAGAUA
This 64-nucleotide transfer RNA is filed under the name Gonocephalum sp. MT-2015-Zz052324. RNAcentral's name for it is "tRNA-His". Lineage: Eukaryota; Metazoa; Arthropoda; Insecta; Coleoptera; Tenebrionidae. The record is from RNAcentral.